CUCAAAUGAAUUGACGGGGACCCGCACAAGCAGCGGAGCAUGUGGUUUAAUUCGAAGCAACGCGAAGAACCUUACCAGGCCUUGACAUCCUCUGACAAUCCUAGAGAUAGGACGUUUCCUUCGGGAACAGAGAGACAGGUGGUGCAUGGUUGUCGUCAGCUCGUGUCGUGAGAUGUUGGGUUAAGUCCCGCAACGAGCGCAACCCUUGCCUUUAGUUGCCAGCAUUGAGUUGGGCACUCUAAAGGGACUGCCGUANACAAUACGGAGGAAGGUGGGGACGACGUCAAAUCAUCAUGCCCCUUAUGGCCUGGGCUACACACGUGCUACAAUGGGUUGGGACAAAGGGAAGCGAAGCCGCGAGGUGAAGCCAAUCCCAUAAAACAACCCCCAGUUCGGAUUGCAGGCUGAAACCCGCCUGCAUGAAGUUGGAGUUGCUAGUAAUCGCAGAUCA
RNAcentral lists this ribosomal RNA (451 nucleotides) under uncultured bacterium. RNAcentral describes it as "bacterial SSU rRNA". It matches the Rfam family "Bacterial small subunit ribosomal RNA", at positions 900 to 1351 of the family's 1533-position model. The record is from RNAcentral.